AUUGAACGCUGGCGGCAUGCUUUACACAUGCAAGUCGAACGGUAACAGGCCUUCGGGUGCUGACGAGUGGCGAACGGGUGAGUAAUGCAUCGGAACGUGCCCAGAGGUGGGGGAUAACGCAGCGAAAGCUGUGCUAAUACCGCAUGUGAUCUGAGGAUGAAAGCGGGGGACCAGGCAGCAAUGUUUGGCCUCGCGCCUUUGGAGCGGCCGAUGUCAGAUUAGGUAGUUGGUGGGGUAAAGGCCUACCAAGCCGACGAUCUGUAGCUGGUCUGAGAGGACGACCAGCCACACUGGGACUGAGACACGGCCCAGACUCCUACGGGAGGCAGCAGUGGGGAAUUUUGGACGAUGGGCGCAAGCCUGAUCCAGCAAUGCCGCGUGCGGGAAGAAGGCCUUCGGGUUGUAAACCGCUUUUGUACGGAACGAAAAGGCUCUGGCUAAUACCUGGGGCUGAUGACGGUACCGUAAGAAUAAGCACCGGCUAACUACGUG
This 492-nucleotide ribosomal RNA is filed under the name uncultured bacterium. RNAcentral describes it as "partial 16S ribosomal RNA". It matches the Rfam family "Bacterial small subunit ribosomal RNA", at positions 30 to 507 of the family's 1533-position model. The record is from RNAcentral.